This 350-nucleotide long non-coding RNA is filed under the name Mytilus galloprovincialis (Mediterranean mussel). The record is from RNAcentral. Lineage: Eukaryota; Metazoa; Mollusca; Bivalvia; Mytilida; Mytilidae.
UGAGCAUGUUCAAAACUUUGAACGGGCAUCCAACGGAUAAAAUGUCCGUUGAACGUCCGUUAGGCGUCCGUUUUGUACGGUACUCGUCCGUUUCGUUUCCGUUUUGUAUCCGUUACGUGUCCGUUAUACAUCCGUUGGAGGUCUGGAAGAUAAAUUCACCAACGGACUUCUACCCGACGUUUAACGGAUAAAACGGAUGUUGAACGGAUGAGAAACGGACUUCUACCGGACGUAUAACGGAUAAAACGGAUGAUGAACGGAUAUGAAACGGAUAAAUGCAAAUUGAGAAAUUUCGCGUCAGAAAUGCCAAUUAUUGGUAUGUCAGAUUUCUUAAGGUUCAUGAAUUCUUA